GAUGAACGCUGGCGGCGUGCCUAAUACAUGCAAGUCGAGCGAACAGAUGAGGAGCUUGCUCCUCUGACGUUAGCGGCGGACGGGUGAGUAACACGUGGAUAACCUACCUAUAAGACUGGGAUAACUUCGGGAAACCGGAACUAAUACCGGAUAAUAUAUUGAACCGCAUGGUUCAAUAGUGAAAGACGGUUUUGCUGUCACUUAUAGAUGGAUCCGCGCCGCAUUAGCUAGUUGGUAAGGUAACGGCUUACCAAGGCAACGAUGCGUAGCCGACCUGAGAGGGUGAUCGGCCACACUGGAACUGAGACACGGUCCAGACUCCUACGGGAGGCAGCAGUAGGGAAUCUUCCGCAAUGGGCGAAAGCCUGACGGAGCAACGCCGCGUGAGUGAUGAAGGUCUUCGGAUCGUAAACUCUGUUAUUAGGGAAGAACAAAUGUGUAAGUAACUAUGCACGUCUUGACGGUACCUAAUCAGAAAGCCACGGCUAACUACGUG
This 496-nucleotide ribosomal RNA is filed under the name uncultured bacterium. Its description in RNAcentral is "partial 16S ribosomal RNA". It matches the Rfam family "Bacterial small subunit ribosomal RNA", at positions 28 to 507 of the family's 1533-position model. The record is from RNAcentral.